ACCCCAUCCCCCGCGCCCAAAGCGAUAUCGUCACGCCGCUGAUCUGGCGGAAAGAUGAAGUCUCGCCGCCCGUGCUGGCGCUGCGUACGCUCAUGGCCUCGGUCGGCACAGCCCCGAAGCGACGCGUUAAGCAGAACGCCUAAGCCGGCUGACCCGGACGCCUGCCUGAGGCUUUGCAACGCAAGCACCUCGCGUGAUAAGCGAA
RNAcentral lists this unclassified non-coding RNA (205 nucleotides) under Hevea brasiliensis (rubber tree). Lineage: Eukaryota; Viridiplantae; Streptophyta; Magnoliopsida; Malpighiales; Euphorbiaceae. The record is from RNAcentral.